UGGGGAAUAUUGGACAAUGGGCGAAAGCCUGAUCCAGCGACGCCGCGUGUGUGAAGAAGGCCUGCGGGUUGUAAAGCACUUUCGAUGGGAACGAAAUGUGUCGGGCUAAUACCCCGGCAAGCUGACGUUACUCAAUGAAGAAGCACCGGCUAACUCUGUGCCAGCAGCCGCGGUAAUACAGAGGGUGCGAGCGUUAAUCGGAAUUACUGGGCGUAAAGCGCACGUAGGUGGCGACGUAAGUCGGGUGUGAAAGCCCCGGGCUCAACCUGGGAAUUGCAUUCGAGACUGCAUCGCUGGAGUACGGAAGAGGAGGGCGGAAUUCCCGGUGUAGCGGUGAAAUGCGUAGAUAUCAAGAGGAACACCUGAGGUGAAGACGGGUUGCUGGGCUGACACUGACGCUGAGGCGCGAAAGCCAGGGGAGCAAACGGGAUUAGAUACCCCCGUAGUCCCUGAGCGGGCUGGCAAGGCGCAU
This 472-nucleotide ribosomal RNA is filed under the name uncultured bacterium. Its description in RNAcentral is "bacterial SSU rRNA". It matches the Rfam family "Bacterial small subunit ribosomal RNA", at positions 355 to 825 of the family's 1533-position model. The record is from RNAcentral.